GGGGACGUAGUUCAGUCGGUUAGAACGCUGCCCUGUCACGGCAGAGGUCGCGAGUUCGAGUCUCGUCGUCCCCGCCA
RNAcentral lists this transfer RNA (77 nucleotides) under Terriglobia bacterium. RNAcentral describes it as "tRNA-Asp". It matches the Rfam family "tRNA". Rfam says of the family: Transfer RNA (tRNA) molecules are approximately 80 nucleotides in length. Their secondary structure includes four short double-helical elements and three loops (D, anti-codon, and T loops). The record is from RNAcentral. RNAcentral also lists the same sequence under 6 other names. Lineage: Bacteria; Pseudomonadati; Acidobacteriota; Terriglobia.